This 254-nucleotide unclassified non-coding RNA is filed under the name uncultured Acidobacteriota bacterium. Its description in RNAcentral is "uncultured Acidobacteria bacterium contains 16S-23S intergenic spacer region". It matches the Rfam family "Bacterial small subunit ribosomal RNA", at positions 524 to 776 of the family's 1533-position model. Lineage: Bacteria; Pseudomonadati; Acidobacteriota. The record is from RNAcentral.
UACGGGGGGGGCAAGCGUUGUUCGGAAUUACUGGGCGUAAAGGGCUCGUAGGCGGCCAAUUAAGUCAGACGUGAAAUCCCUCGGCUCAACCGGGGAACUGCGUCUGAUACUGGAUGGCUUGAGUUUGGGAGAGGGAUGCGGAAUUCCAGGUGUAGCGGUGAAAUGCGUAGAUAACUGGAGGAACACCGGUGGCGAAGGCGGCAUCCUGGACCAACACUGACGCUGAGGGAGCGAAAGCCAGGGGAGCAAACAGG